UUGUAGGUUUUAACAUAAUGAAUUAUGGCACCCCAAAUUAUGAUUUUUGUAGAUUUGAUUUAUUAUUGUUGAUGGAUAGAAUUUUCUUUUUAUGAGAAUUGAGUGAAAAGUAGGCAUAGUAAAGUCAAAAAGGGACAAGAAGAUAAAAGGGAUAUUCUUAACUUUUCUUCCAAUUUCAUAUUUUUGUUCUUCAAUUUCGUGUUUCCCCACUUUCUUUUCUGUCUUUCUUUAUUUCUUUCAGUUAAUAGAUUUAAAGUUUCAUUUGAAUUAUACAAAAUAUUUAAUUGAUAAUAAAUUCUCGUGUUUCUUAUUCAGUUGGAAAAAAAUGGCAGCGGCUCUGUUUUAGUUCAUCAACAACAAAGAAGACUUCUUCAACAGUCCUAUAUGGAGAAAGUACAUGUCACCAAAGGUUAUAUACAUGCAAUGUCAAUAGUAUGCAGAUGUUAACUGUUGCGCUAGCAGAAGAAAGCAAAGAACGCAACUAUUCCUCAUAAAAAAAGGCUAAAACAUCAAGGAAAUUUUGUCCAUUUCUCUUCAGAAUUCAGGUGAGAGUGGAAGGAGGCAAGCAAAAUUAUUACAUGGAUAGCACUUUCUCAAGGCAUAAGACUGGAAGAAAAGAAAGUUUCUUUCACUCACCACAUUUAAAAGGUGGUGAAUUUUUUUUAGGGGAUGGCAAAAUAAAAAACCAUUUUAAAGAUGGUCAGAUUUGUAGUGAUUGUGUAAGGGGUAACUGUAAUGCCUUGAGACUACACCCUGGGCGUCACACGGUACUUACGACCCCAAAGGACCACAAGCUAACCAAUGACUAGUACCUGCUAUGAGCAAUGAAAAAUAAUCAUGAAGUAUAUGCGGAAGUAAAACUGAAAAUACCAUAAGGUUCAUAAAACUGAAUAAAAACUUAAUACAUCUAUAGAAUAAUUGCUAACUGAUAAUGUUUGAAAGCCUCUAAACAUCUAAAAUAAAAGAGUUGAUGGGAGAGGCCCCAACUAACUCACAACUGCUAUCUAAAAUAAUUGAAAUACUGAAAUAAUGCAAAGACAAAAUAAGUAUCGCGUUCUCGAUGGAUAAGGACUCACUACUGUAACUGCGGCUGAUCUGGCUAUGACUGAUCUGGCUAAGUACAGUCAAGAACCCAAACGUCUGAACCUAUGAUAUGAGACAUCAUAGCGCAAAGAGAGAGUAUGCAUCAAUACUAUGAAUGUACUAGUAUGCUAGGUGAGGUUAGGCUAAUAUGCAUGGGUUCUUGUCCAUGAGUAAUAAUAACAACUAAAUAUCUUGAAGUGACUGGAUGAGAGUAUAUGCAAGACUGGGACUAUUGAAGAUAAUGAAUAUGUAAUAUCAAGUAUAUAUCGUCUGUCUAAAUUAAAAAAUAUUAAAGUACUGAGUUUCUAAUAACUGAUUGCUGAAAACUAAAAGUUAUGGUCUCGUAGAACUAACUGAGUUCUAUACCAAACGCUGAAUACUAAAUACUGAAUACUGAAUACUGAGCACUGGAACUGAGACUGUGGGAGCUAUCAUCUAAUCGACAUACCUCAUUUAUAGACUAUUGUGGUCCAACUGUAACCCCAGCUGGAAGGAUGUUAGCACCGUGCAGGGUCAACCUAAUCUGACAAAAAGACUCAUGAGAUGUAUAUGAUUACGUCAACCCUAGUCUAGCAGGAAGUUUAUUUACCCUACGCUGGAUAUGUAGUUCUAUAAUUCAGGGACUGUUACUAAGUGCCAAACCCUAUACUGGUAGGAAUUCCCCCAUCCCUGGGUUCACUCGGUGCUGAAUCAUACUCUCAACUGAACUGACACUAAUCGUAGGCUAUUUUAAGCUUGACUAAACUCACGCUGAUUCUGUUAACUGGCUGAAUGCUACUUUUUAGGAUACUAUGAAAUCAUUCUAUUAUGACUAGAAACUAAGUAAGCAGCUAAUUUUAGGUAUAUAAUAUCCCCAGAACUCAAUAGCAUAAAUAAUAGAACCAUAUCACAAGUUUAAAAGCGUUACAAUUGGGAUAUCAUGCACAAUUUAUUCACAUAGACAUUUUGUCAAACACUUGGGGAGCAUGGUUCUUGUACAUUAGUAAGAACAAUAUGGGGAUAUCAUGAUUACAAAAUUUAACUUACAAUUCAUAGGUUAUGACAUGGGGAGUACAUAAAUCAACACACGUGCUAGUUUAUUUGCUUGAAAUUCGUAAUCUUCUUAAUUUAGAACCCAUAAAAUAAACAUGUACAUGAACACAAUUUAAUUCAAGAAUGUAAUUCAUAAUUUAAAUUCUCAAAAAGGAUUCUUGAACUCCAAGGGUGUAAAUAACCCAAGGAUGAACACCAAACAUACCUUGAUUUAUGAAUUUGUGAGAAUUG
Capsicum annuum is the source of this 2346-nucleotide long non-coding RNA. RefSeq lists it as uncharacterized. Lineage: Eukaryota; Viridiplantae; Streptophyta; Magnoliopsida; Solanales; Solanaceae. The transcript is spliced from 4 exons. The record is from RefSeq and is a predicted model, not a curated record.